AGCAGCCGCGGUAAUUCCAGCUCCAAUAGCGUAUAUUAAAGUUGUUGCAGUUAAAAAGCUCGUAGUUGAAUUUCGGGGUCAGUAGGUUGGUCAUGCCUUCGGUAUGUACUGGUCUCACUGAUUCCUCCCUCUUGAAGAACCGUAAUGUCAUUAAUUUGAUGUUGCGGGGAAACAGGACUGUUACUUUGAAAAAAUUAGAGUGUUUAAAGCAGGCUCACGCUUGAAUACAUUAGCAUGGAAUAAUGAAAUAGGACGUUCGAUCCUAUUUUGUUGGUUUCUAGGAUUGACGUAAUGAUUAAUAGGGAUGGUUGGGGGCAUUAGUAUUCAAUUGUCAGAGGUGAAAUUCUUGGAUUUAUUGAAGACUAACUACUGCGAAAGCAUUUGCCAAGGAUGUUUUCAUUAAUCAAGAACGAAAGUUAGGGGAUCGAAGACGAUCAGAUACCGUCGUAGUCUUAACCAUAAACUAUGCCGACUAGGGAUCGGAUGAUGUUAAUUUUUUAAUGACUCAUUCGGCGCCUUA
This 520-nucleotide ribosomal RNA is filed under the name uncultured Glomeromycotina. Its description in RNAcentral is "SSU rRNA". It matches the Rfam family "Eukaryotic small subunit ribosomal RNA", at positions 569 to 1090 of the family's 1831-position model. Lineage: Eukaryota; Fungi; Glomeromycota. The record is from RNAcentral.